Molecule: ribosomal RNA, 325 nt
Filed under: uncultured Actinomycetes bacterium
Lineage: Bacteria; Bacillati; Actinomycetota; Actinomycetes
Description: bacterial SSU rRNA
Rfam family: Bacterial small subunit ribosomal RNA
Source: RNAcentral
GAUGAACGCUGGCGGCGUGCUUAACACAUGCAAGUCGAACGAUGAUCCGGUGCUUGCACCGGGGAUUAGUGGCGAACGGGUGAGUAACACGUGAGUAACCUGCCCUUAACUCUGGGAUAAGCCUGGGAAACUGGGUCUAAUACCGGAUAUGACUCCUCAUCGCAUGGUGGGGGGUGGAAAGCUUUAUUGUGGUUUUGGAUGGACUCGCGGCCUAUCAGCUUGUUGGUGAGGUAAUGGCUCACCAAGGCGACGACGGGUAGCCGGCCUGAGAGGGUGACCGGCCACACUGGGACUGAGACACGGCCCAGACUCCUACGGGAGGCUG